This 252-nucleotide ribosomal RNA is filed under the name uncultured bacterium. Its description in RNAcentral is "partial 16S ribosomal RNA". It matches the Rfam family "Bacterial small subunit ribosomal RNA", at positions 524 to 776 of the family's 1533-position model. The record is from RNAcentral.
UACGAGGGGGCUAGCGUUGUUCGGAAUUACUGGGCGUAAAGCGCGCGUAGGCGGUGAUCCAUGUCAGAGGUGAAAGCCCGGGGCUCAACUCCGGAAUUGCCUUUGAAACGGGAUCGCUAGAGUCCGAGAGAGGAUGGCGGAAUUCCUAGUGUAGAGGUGAAAUUCGUAGAUAUUAGGAAGAACACCGGUGGCGAAGGCGGCCAUCUGGCUCGGUACUGACGCUCAGGCGCGAAAGCGUGGGGAGCAAACAGG